GUAGGGAAUCUUGCGCAAUGGGCGAAAGCCUGACGCAGCCAUGCCGCGUGAAUGAUGAAGGUCUUAGGAUUGUAAAAUUCUUUCACCGGGGACGAUAAUGACGGUACCCGGAGAAGAAGCCCCGGCUAACUUCGUGCCAGCAGCCGCGGUAAUACGAAGGGGGCUAGCGUUGCUCGGAAUUACUGGGCGUAAAGGGAGCGUAGGCGGAUAGUUUAGUCAGAGGUGAAAGCCCAGGGCUCAACCUUGGAAUUGCCUUUGAUACUGGCUAUCUUGAGUAUGGAAGAGGUAUGUGGAACUCCGAGUGUAGAGGUGAAAUUCGUAGAUAUUCGGAAGAACACCAGUGGCGAAGGCGACAUACUGGUCCAUUACUGACGCUGAGGCUCGAAAGCGUGGGGAGCAAACAGGAUUAGAUACCCCAGUAGUCC
This 425-nucleotide ribosomal RNA is filed under the name uncultured bacterium. Its description in RNAcentral is "partial 16S ribosomal RNA". It matches the Rfam family "Bacterial small subunit ribosomal RNA", at positions 354 to 796 of the family's 1533-position model. The record is from RNAcentral.